AUAAUACUCCAUAGAUUAGAGAUACUGGAAUGUUCUUUAGUCGAAAGUUCUGGCGCCUUAGGAUGGAUCUGCGGUCGAUUAGGUUGUUGUUGGGGUAACGGCCCAACAAGCCUGUAAUCGAUACGGGUUGUGGGAGCAAUAGCCCGGAGAUGGAAUCUGAGACACGAUUCCAGGCCCUACGGGGCGCAGCAGGCGCGAAAACUUUACAAUGCAGGAAACUGUGAUAAGGGAACUCCGAGUGCCCGUAUACGCGGGCUGUCCAGGUGUUUAAAAAUCAUCUGAAGAAAGGGCCGGGCAAGACCGGUGCCAGCCGCCGCGGUAAUACCGGCGGCUCGAGUGGUGGCCACUAUUAUUGGGCUUAAAGCGUCCGUAGCUGGACCGAUAAGUCUCUUGGGAAAUCCGCCGGCUCAACCGGCGGGCGUCUAAGGGAUACUGUUGGUCUAGGGACCGGGAGAGGUGAGAGGUACUCCGGGGGUAGGAGUGAAAUCCUGUAAUCCCCGGGGGACCACCGAUGGCGAAGGCAUCUCACCAGAACGGCUCCGACAGUGAGGGACGAAAGCUGGGGGAGCGAACCGGAUUAGAUACCCGGGUAGUCCCAGCCGUAAACUAUGCGCGUUAGGUGU
RNAcentral lists this ribosomal RNA (623 nucleotides) under uncultured archaeon. RNAcentral describes it as "bacterial SSU rRNA". It matches the Rfam family "Archaeal small subunit ribosomal RNA", at positions 146 to 774 of the family's 1478-position model. The record is from RNAcentral.